Molecule: long non-coding RNA, 881 nt
Organism: Heterocephalus glaber (naked mole-rat)
Lineage: Eukaryota; Metazoa; Chordata; Mammalia; Rodentia; Bathyergidae
Source: Ensembl
GUGACGGGAGCCGCCGGGCGCUGAGGCCGCGGGAGGGUUGGGGGCUGCGGCCUGAGUGGGAGAGGGGAACAGGUCAGCGCCGACCCUGAGCCUCGGCAAACACCCAUGGUUCCAGACGUCCGAAGACACAGAAAUGCUCAAGAUACGCACAGAGGAGCCAGGCGUGGUGGAGCACACCUAUAACCCCACUACUUGGGAGGCUGGGCCUGAAGGAUCAUGUGUUUGAGGCCAUUUCGAGCUACAUACCGAGUUCAAGUUACAGGCCCAACAAUAUCUGUACCAGGCUGGGAGGUGUGAUCACCCAGUGGCAGAGUGCUUGCCUAGCCUGCCUAACGCCCUGCGUUGGGAUCCCCAGCUUCCGAAAACAAAAAGAUGGCUUAUUGUUGGUUUCCUCUCCCACAGGCCUGACCACUGCAGGUAUGCCCCUGAGCCUCACCUUGGCCCAAGAUUUCCCUGGAUAUAGCCACUUGACUGCAGUAGUCUCGGACACCUAGGACUCUGAACACCCCUGAUGAAUUUCCCUACAGCUCCCGCCUGUCCUCUAAAGAACUCUAGAUGACAAACUUCUUCCACCAUAUUUCUGGGAACUCUGCUUCUCCCAGGUGAAGACACAGUAGGCAGCCAUCUACAAGCCAAGAACCUUUAGCAGGAGCCGAAUUGGACAGCAUCUUGAUUUUGGACUCCAGUUUACAGAACUGUGAGAAAUAAAUUUCUGCUGUUACAGCCACCCAGUCAGUAAUAUUUUGUUAUGGAAGUCCAAGAUGAUUAUGACAAGAAAUAAAGGUGCCACAAACAGUUUUUUACAAGUCUUCGUGUAGACAUAUGCUGAGUAAAUACUCAGAAUGGCUGGAUGUUUUGUGUAUAUUUAACUUUUUUUUUUU